Molecule: ribosomal RNA, 833 nt
Filed under: uncultured bacterium
Lineage: Bacteria
Description: bacterial SSU rRNA
Rfam family: Bacterial small subunit ribosomal RNA
Source: RNAcentral
CGGCAGGCUUAACACAUGCAAGUCGAGGGGUAUAGUUCUUCGGAACCAGAGACCGGCGCACGGGUGCGUAACGCGUAUGCAAUCUGCCUUUCACAGAGGGAUAGCCCAGAGAAAUUUGGAUUAAUACCUCAUAGUAUAGCGACAUCGCAUGAUGAUGCUAUUAAAGUCACAACGGUGAAAGAUGAGCAUGCGUCCCAUUAGCUAGUUGGUAAGGUAACGGCUUACCAAGGCAACGAUGGGUAGGGGUCCUGAGAGGGAGAUCCCCCACACUGGUACUGAGACACGGACCAGACUCCUACGGGAGGCAGCAGUGAGGAAUAUUGGUCAAUGGGCGCAAGCCUGAACCAGCCAUGCCGCGUGCAGGAUGACGGUCCUAUGGAUUGUAAACUGCUUUUGCACAGGAAGAAACACUGAUUCGUGAAUCAGCUUGACGGUACUGUGAGAAUAAGGAUCGGCUAACUCCGUGCCAGCAGCCGCGGUAAUACGGAGGAUCCAAGCGUUAUCCGGAAUCAUUGGGUUUAAAGGGUCCGUAGGCGGUCUGGUAAGUCAGUGGUGAAAGCCCAUCGCUCAACGGUGGAACGGCCAUUGAUACUGCUGGACUUGAAUUAUUAGGAAGUAACUAGAAUAUGUAGUGUAGCGGUGAAAUGCUUAGAGAUUACAUGGAAUACCAAUUGCGAAGGCAGGUUACUACUAAUGGAUUGACGCUGAUGGACGAAAGCGUGGGUAGCGAACAGGAUUAGAUACCCUGGUAGUCCACGCCGUAAACGAUGGAUACUAGCUGUUGGAAGCAAUUUCAGUGGCUAAGCGAAAGUGAUAAGUAUCCCACCUGGGGA